This 253-nucleotide ribosomal RNA is filed under the name uncultured bacterium. Its description in RNAcentral is "partial 16S ribosomal RNA". It matches the Rfam family "Bacterial small subunit ribosomal RNA", at positions 524 to 776 of the family's 1533-position model. The record is from RNAcentral.
UACGUAGGUGGCAAGCGUUGUCCGGAUUUAUUGGGUUUAAAGGGUGCGUAGGCGGUCUAUUAAGUCAGCGGUGAAAUACUCCAGCUUAACUGGAGGGGUGCCAUUGAUACUGAUGGACUUGAGUCAAGUCGAGGUAGGCGGAAUUGACGGUGUAGCGGUGAAAUGCGCAGAUAUCAGGAGGAACACCGAUGGCGAAGGCAGUGUUCUGGGCCAGUACUGACGCUGAGGAGCGAAAGCGUGGGGAGCAAACAGG